This 253-nucleotide ribosomal RNA is filed under the name uncultured bacterium. RNAcentral describes it as "partial 16S ribosomal RNA". It matches the Rfam family "Bacterial small subunit ribosomal RNA", at positions 524 to 776 of the family's 1533-position model. The record is from RNAcentral.
UAGAGAGGGUGCGAGCGUUAAUCGGAAUUACUGGGCGUAAAGGGCGCGUAGGCGGCCUGUUAAGUCCCGUGUGAAAUCCCUCGGCUCAACCGAGGAACUGCACGGGAAACUGGCGGGCUUGAGUUCGGGAGAGGGAAGCGGAAUUCCGGGUGUAGCGGUGAAAUGCGUAGAUAUCCGGAGGAACACCGGUGGCGAAGGCGGCUUCCUGGACCGACACUGACGCUGAGGCGCGAAAGCUAGGGGAGCAAACGGG